RNAcentral lists this ribosomal RNA (293 nucleotides) under uncultured Acetobacteraceae bacterium. RNAcentral's name for it is "partial 16S ribosomal RNA". It matches the Rfam family "Bacterial small subunit ribosomal RNA", at positions 505 to 796 of the family's 1533-position model. Lineage: Bacteria; Pseudomonadati; Pseudomonadota; Alphaproteobacteria; Acetobacterales; Acetobacteraceae. The record is from RNAcentral.
GUGCCAGCCGCCGCGGUAAUACGAAGGGGGCGAGCGUUGCUCGGAAUGACUGGGCGUAAAGGGCGUGUAGGCGGUUCUAUGCUGUCAGAUGUGAAAUUUUCAGGCUUAACCUGAAACGUGCAUUUGAAACGGUAGGACUAGAGUUCUAGAGAGGAUAUCGGAAUUCCCAGUGUAGAGGUGAAAUUCGUAGAUAUUGGGAAGAACACCGGUUGCGAAGGCUGCUAUCUGGCUCGACACUGACGCUGAGGCGCGAAAGCGUGGGGAGCAAACAGGAUUAGAUACCCUGGUAGUCC